This 205-nucleotide ribosomal RNA is filed under the name uncultured bacterium. Its description in RNAcentral is "partial 16S ribosomal RNA". It matches the Rfam family "Bacterial small subunit ribosomal RNA", at positions 568 to 774 of the family's 1533-position model. The record is from RNAcentral.
UGCGUAGGUGGUUUCUUAAGUCAGAGGUGAAAGGCUACGGCUCAACCGUAGUAAGCCUUUGAAACUGGGAAACUUGAGUGCAGGAGAGGAGAGUGGAAUUCCUAGUGUAGCGGUGAAAUGCGUAGAUAUAUGGAGGAACACCGGUGGCGAAAGCGGCUCUCUGGUCUGUAACUGACACUGAGGCUCGAAAGCGUGGGAGCAAACA